AUGAACGCUGACAGAAUGCUUAACACAUGCAAGUCAACUUGAACUUCGGUUUGGGUGGCGGACGGGUGAGUAACGCGUAAAGAACUUGCCUCACAGCUAGGGACAACAUUUGGAAACGAAUGCUAAUACCUGAUAUUAUGAUUUUAGGGCAUCCUAGAAUUAUGAAAGCUAUAUGCGCUGUGAGAGAGCUUUGCGUCCCAUUAGCUAGUUGGAGAGGUAACGGCUCACCAAGGCGAUGAUGGGUAGCCGGCCUGAGAGGGUGAACAGCCACAAGGGGACUGAGACACGGCCCUUACUCCUACGGGAGGCAGCAGUGGGGAAUAUUGGACAAUGGACCAAGAGUCUGAUCCAGCAAUUCUGUGUGCACGAUGAAGUUUUUCGGAAUGUAAAGUGCUUUCAGUUGGGAAGAAAAAAAUGACGGUACCAACAGAAGAAGUGACGGCUAAAUACGUG
Molecule: ribosomal RNA, 453 nt
Filed under: uncultured bacterium
Lineage: Bacteria
Description: partial 16S ribosomal RNA
Rfam family: Bacterial small subunit ribosomal RNA
Source: RNAcentral